GAUGAACGCUGGCGGCGUGCCUAAUACAUGCAAGUCGAGCGAACGGACGAGAAGCUUGCUUCUCUGAUGUUAGCGGCGGACGGGUGAGUAACACGUGGAUAACCUACCUAUAAGACUGGGAUAACUUCGGGAAACCGGAGCUAAUACCGGAUAAUAUUUUGAACCGCAUGGUUCAAAAGUGAAAGACGGUCUUGCUGUCACUUAUAGAUGGAUCCGCGCUGCAUUAGCUAGUUGGUAAGGUAACGGCUUACCAAGGCAACGAUGCAUAGCCGACCUGAGAGGGUGAUCGGCCACACUGGAACUGAGACACGGUCCAGACUCCUACGGGAGGCAGCGGUAGGGAAUCUUCCGCAAUGGGCGAAAGCCUGACGGAGCAACGCCGCGUGAGUGAUGAAGGUCUUCGGAUCGUAAAACUCUGUUAUUAGGGAAGAACAUAUGUGUAAGUAACUGUGCACAUCUUGACGGUACCUAAUCAGAAAGCCACGGCGAACUACGU
Molecule: ribosomal RNA, 496 nt
Filed under: uncultured bacterium
Lineage: Bacteria
Description: partial 16S ribosomal RNA
Rfam family: Bacterial small subunit ribosomal RNA
Source: RNAcentral